AUACGGAGGAUACGAGCGUUAUCCGGAUUUAUUGGGUUUAAAGGGUGCGCAGGCGGCCAUUUAAGUCAGCGGUUAAAUCGUGGGGCUCAACCCCAUUCUGCCGUUGAUACUGGGUGGCUUGAUUGCGGUCGAGGUUGGCGGAAUUCGUUGUGUAGCGGUGAAAUGCAUAGAUAUGACGAAGAACACCGAUUGCGUAGGCAGCUGACCAGACCGCAAAUGACGCUCAUGCACGAAAGUGCGGGGAUCGAACAGGAUUAGAUACCCUGGUAGUCCGCACAGUAAACGAUGAAUACUUGUUUUCGGCGAUAUAAUGUCGGAGGCAAAGCGAAAGCGAUAAGUAUUCCACCUGGGGAGUACGCCGGCAACGGUGAAACUCAAAGGAAUUGACGGGG
This 392-nucleotide ribosomal RNA is filed under the name uncultured bacterium. Its description in RNAcentral is "partial 16S ribosomal RNA". It matches the Rfam family "Bacterial small subunit ribosomal RNA", at positions 523 to 918 of the family's 1533-position model. The record is from RNAcentral.